GGCUCAGAACGAACGCUGGCGGCGCGUCUAAGCAUGCAAGUCGAACGGCAAGAGGUAGCAAUACCUCCUAGAGUGGCGGGACUGGUGAGUAACACGUGGGUGACAUACCCUUCAGAUGGGGAUAGCUAUUAGAAAUAGUAGAUAAUACCGAAUACGAGCACAGGGGUUAGAGAUCUGUGAGGAAAGGAGCUAAGGCUCCGCUGAAGGAAUGGCCUGCGGCCCAUUAGCUAGUUGGUGAGGUAAGAGCCCACCAAGGCGAUGAUGGGUAUCCGGCCUUAGAGGGUGAACGGACACAUUGGGGCUGAGAUACGGCCCAGACUCCUACGGGAGGCAGCAGCUAAGAAUAUUCCGCAAUGGACGAAAGUCUGACGGAGCGACGCCGCGUGGAUGAAGAAGGCCGGAAGGUUGUAAAAUCCUUUUGAAACUGAAGAAUAAGCGUUGUAGGGAAUGACAGCGUGGUGACAGUAGGUUUUGAAUAAGCAACGGCUAAUUACGUGCCAGCCGCAGC
Molecule: ribosomal RNA, 508 nt
Filed under: uncultured bacterium
Lineage: Bacteria
Description: bacterial SSU rRNA
Rfam family: Bacterial small subunit ribosomal RNA
Source: RNAcentral